Molecule: long non-coding RNA, 1178 nt
Organism: Helianthus annuus (common sunflower)
Lineage: Eukaryota; Viridiplantae; Streptophyta; Magnoliopsida; Asterales; Asteraceae
Exons: 3
Source: RefSeq, a predicted model, not a curated record
UCCCACUCAAAAUUUCUCACUUUUAAAAGUUAACCGCCCAUUCAUUAAUUCUCCUUUCUCCCCUACAUCUCAGCCAUAAAUCGGUUCCCCUGCCCCCAAAUCCAACUGCGAUAAACAGAGAUAUUGAGUUGUGGAUGAUUCUUGAAGAUGAUUUGAUCACAGUUGCUCACCGCUACAACACGAAUGAUUCUCUCUAUAUCUCUUGUUGUCCACUGCACUACCAUCGCACCACCACAUUUUGCACACAACCUAUUUGAUGAAAUGCCACAUAGAGCUGGGAAUUCUGGAAAUAUCCUUUUGGUCAUAGUCCUUGAAAUAUGCAUCUAGGGUGGUAUUCCUUUUGGAGAACAAUUGUCUGUAAGUCUAAGGCACUCUCAAGGUAUAUCAUCCUUUUAAUUUAUUUUAUACAUUUAGAUAUUUUAUUUUGUUUGUUUUUCAAAAAUGGAAUACACAAGAGAAGACUUCGGGUGAGGAAAUUGAAUCUAUGGUCGUAGACUUGAUGGAGCGUAGGAUUAAGGAGGUGUUUGGGGUCUGGACAUGAACUCCGUAAAGGUAUCUCAAGGUUAGCUCAAAUUUGACCAUUUAAUGUUCAUUUCUAUUUAAGAAAGUAUAAAGAUAUGUAUUGAUACAGAAUGAUCUUUCUAGUUUUAAAGCCUUUUCUUACGGUUCCUAAUGUAUAUAAUAUAUAUUUACAUAUCCAUAAUUGUUAUUUAAUGUCUUCAUUUGAUAAUCGCAAGAACUAGUGAGAUUGUUUUUGCACAUGAAAAACAGAUAAUUGUCAAAAGCCAUCAAUGAGGUACGAUAAUAAUAACCACGUGUAACACAGACCAUGCCCAUGUAUCAGUCUAGUCUCUUAAUGACAUGUUUUUGCAAUGUAGUUCGUGCUGCUAUAAAGUUGAAAUUUGAUUAUCAUAGGGCACUGUUUGGGUUAGUUUAAAGAACUUUUCUUCUCUACAAUUCCGGUUGCAAGCAUGGAUUGAAGACGUUGGUUUGGGUUUAAAGUAUGAAGACAUCGGUCGGUUCAGGAAGUUAUUGUGUAUCACUUUCAUAUUUAGAGUUAUAUGUAUUGUUAGAAUUGUUGUGUUAGAGGAAAACUUUUGUAAUAGUGUGUUACUUUGAAAACUUUGUAUUUUAUAUUCUUGGGUUGUAUUAUAUUCAUUCUAAUUAAUUUUGUUUUU